UACGGAGGGUGCAAGCGUUGUCCGGAUUUAUUGGGUUUAAAGGGUGCGUAGGCGGCUUUUUAAGUCAGCGGUGAAAGACAACAGCUCAACUGUUGCAGUGCCAUUGAUACUGAAGAGCUUGAGUACAGAUGAGGUAGGCGGAAUUUAUGGUGUAGCGGUGAAAUGCAUAGAUACCAUAAAGAACACCUAUUGCGAAGGCAGCUUACUAAGCUGUAACUGACGCUGAGGCACGAAAGUGUGGGGAAUCAAACAGGGAUUA
This 259-nucleotide ribosomal RNA is filed under the name uncultured bacterium. Its description in RNAcentral is "partial 16S ribosomal RNA". It matches the Rfam family "Bacterial small subunit ribosomal RNA", at positions 524 to 780 of the family's 1533-position model. The record is from RNAcentral.